RNAcentral lists this non-coding RNA (111 nucleotides) under Streptococcus anginosus. RNAcentral describes it as "Streptococcus RNA 266". It matches the Rfam family "Streptococcus RNA 266". Lineage: Bacteria; Bacillati; Bacillota; Bacilli; Lactobacillales; Streptococcaceae. The record is from RNAcentral.
AAUGAGUUGUCUAAACGCUUUUCAUUAUAGGUCAUAGGGGACUUUUUGUAUACACAAAAAUAACUCCAUAAUCUCUGCGGUGGUGUUACCCACUACAGAAAUUAUAGAGCC